AUAUUUAUAGUAUAAUAAUUACAUUAGCUUUUCAAGCUAAAAAUAUGGAAUCUCCAUUAAAUAUC
RNAcentral lists this transfer RNA (65 nucleotides) under Glycera dibranchiata. Its description in RNAcentral is "tRNA-Glu". It matches the Rfam family "tRNA". From Rfam's summary of the family: Transfer RNA (tRNA) molecules are approximately 80 nucleotides in length. Their secondary structure includes four short double-helical elements and three loops (D, anti-codon, and T loops). Lineage: Eukaryota; Metazoa; Annelida; Polychaeta; Phyllodocida; Glyceridae. The record is from RNAcentral.